CAUGCAUGCUUAUCAUGUAAACUUAUAAUGUUAACAUUCAUAUGCCCUUUAUCUUAUGCAUUCAAAGCAUUAAUCACAUGCAUUUAUCUAGCAUUUCUAUAAUAUGUUAACAUGCAUUCUUUUCACAUUCUUACAUUAUGUCAAAUGCAUUCCUCUAGCAUUUCACAUUAUAUGUCAACAUGCAUCAAUAUGAAAUCUCAUUUCUUAGACAUAAAGGGCGACCUAGUCGCUUCGGUAAGCACAACCCACC
This 250-nucleotide long non-coding RNA is filed under the name Ananas comosus (pineapple). RNAcentral's name for it is "long non-coding RNA (ACOM_LNC042834)". The record is from RNAcentral. Lineage: Eukaryota; Viridiplantae; Streptophyta; Magnoliopsida; Poales; Bromeliaceae.